RNAcentral lists this ribosomal RNA (564 nucleotides) under uncultured bacterium. Its description in RNAcentral is "bacterial SSU rRNA". It matches the Rfam family "Bacterial small subunit ribosomal RNA", at positions 337 to 916 of the family's 1533-position model. The record is from RNAcentral.
UCCUACGGGAGGCAGCAGUGAGGAAUAUUGCACAAUGGGGGCAACCCUGAUGCAGCAACGCCGCGUGAACGAUGAAGGCCUUCGGGUUGUAAAGUUCUUUUCUGAGGGAAGAUAAUGACGGUACCUCAGGAAUAAGUCCCGGCUAACUACGUGCCAGCAGCCGCGGUAAAACGUAGGGGGCUAGCGUUAUCCGGAUUUAUUGGGCGUAAAGCGCACGUAGGCGGCGCUGUAAGUUGGGCGUGAAAGCUCUCGGCUUAACUGAGAGAGGUCGUCCAAAACUGCAGUGCUUGAGGGUGAAAGAGGAGAGUGGAAUUCCCGGUGUAGUGGUGGAAUGCGUAGAUAUCGGGAGGAACACCAGUGGCGAAAGCGGCUCUCUGGUUCACCCCUGACGCUGAGGUGCGAAAGCGUGGGGAGCGAACGGGAUUAGAUACCCCGGUAGUCCACGCCGUAAACGAUGGAUACUAGGUGUAGGAGGUUAUUUACCCCUUCUGUGCCGAAGCUAACGCGUUAAGUAUCCCGCCUGGGGACUACGACCGCAAGGUUAAAACUCAAAUGAAUUGACGG